GGAGGAGAGCUCGGGCGAGGUCACUGACUCACGGUGGAGCUCGCUGAGGAAGAAAGCGGAGAGAAGAGAGGGCGUUGGAGAGGAAAUGGAGGUCUGCUGCCGCUCGGGGGGUGUCGUGGCAUCCAAGAGGGCGUGUUGGGGCUGACAAGCGGGGUCGCCAUCUAUGUACGGCUGCCACGGGGCUUCCACGCGUCGGUCGGCCGGCGACUGACGAAACUGAAUCGGUUGAUUUCAGUUGCCAUUGACAGUGACUGAAACCGUAACUUGAUCG
Molecule: long non-coding RNA, 271 nt
Filed under: Sorghum bicolor (sorghum)
Lineage: Eukaryota; Viridiplantae; Streptophyta; Magnoliopsida; Poales; Poaceae
Description: long non-coding RNA (SBIC_LNC011826)
Source: RNAcentral